Molecule: long non-coding RNA, 4215 nt
Organism: Lytechinus pictus (painted urchin)
Lineage: Eukaryota; Metazoa; Echinodermata; Echinoidea; Temnopleuroida; Toxopneustidae
Exons: 2
Source: RefSeq, a predicted model, not a curated record
GAGAUUAAAGUUUAUCGAGACCAAUAGAAUAAUAGCCCUGCUCUCGCUAUAACAAUAGGGGAUGUGUCACGCAUGCUGCACAUCGCUCUGCACAUGCAUGCAGCGCACCACAUGCCACGGACCUAGACGCAUACGUAUUAUACCGGUACCGGUACUUGUUUUUUCACAACAUGACAUCUGUUGAUUACAAACCGCUCUCGAUAACCUUGUCCUUGAUUAAGCCAAAAUAGCUCUUCUCGACAUUGUUUUUGUUUUGGAUCACGUUUUACUGUUUAAGUGUUUCUAUCUUCUGAAGUUCUCUUACGCGUUAUUAUUGACAUUUUUAAUUACGAGUUAAAACUACGAGAGUUUCAUCUUCUUCAGCUGGUACCGGUACCGGUAGUGGUCGUGCCGUAUUCGUUCACUGUCUGUGGUCACUCGCCCCCGGGCGCGGCCGUCCCAGCAGAGCCAGCCAAGCAGUUCGAGCGAAAGGGACAAGAACUCGGAGUCCACACUUUGUCUUUGUUUCUUCAAGUCAACGGGCAACUUGCUCAAUCGAAGAGGACUGGGGAAGUGUACAACAGGCCUGUCGUUUCCGUCCGGCGAAACAAAGAGAUGAUGGAGAACUCAGAAGUACCACAACUGGAUUGGGAAGGACAGUGAGAAGUCUCUGGAAGACAGGAGUUGUGUGUGUAUUUGAGUUUUGUCAGACGUGUAUCAAUCAGAUAUGAUUAUUUACGUCUGGGACCAACCUUUAACAUCACAAUCUGAAAGACGUGACCAGGGCUCGAACCUCUGCAUCAAUUUGUAACUUGAUUCCCCACAGCUUGGAUUACAGGCGCAAGCCACAACGCCCAGGACAGGAGAGCUGUCACAGAUUAUUUUACAAAUUUGUUAACCUGGGUACAUAGUUACAUACAUGUUGUUUACAUAAUUUUGAACAUGCACCACAGGCCACAAGUUAAAGGACAAGUUCAUCCCUACAAAAAGUUGAUUUGAAUAAAACGAGAAAAAUCCAACAAGCAUAACGCUGAAAAUUUCAUCAAAAUUGGAUGUAAAAUAAAAAAGUUAUGACUUUCUAAAGUUUAACUUAAUUUCACGAAAUAGUUAUAUGCACAUCCUGGCGGGUAUGCAAAUGAGGAGACCAUGACGUCAUCCACUCACUAUUUCUUUUGUAUUUUAUUAUAUGAAAUAUUCUAAUUUUCUUCUCAUUGUCAAGUGGUACAACGAUUAAUUCCUCCCUGAACAUGUGGAAUUAGCAUUGUUUAAUACUCCAUGGUUCAGUCAAGUUGGUCCCUAUUGUCAAAUCUAUAAAAAAAUGAAAUAUUGUAUAAUUCAAACAAUAAAAAACAAAAGAUAUAGUGAGUGAUGGACAUCAUCGACUGACUCACCUAGUUGUGCAUAUUACUGUUUUGUGAAAAAUAAGCGAAACUUUAAAUGUCAUAGCUUUCUUAUUUUACAUCUGAUUUCGAUGAAAUUUUCAGCACUAUGCUAGUUUGAUUUUUCUCUAUUGAUUCAAGUCAGCAUUUUCCUGGGGUGGACUUGACCUUUAAUGAAAAACUUACUCUUGUCUACAAGUCCAAUGCAAAUUUAAUCAUAAAUGUCAUUUGCCACCCAAUGAAAUAACCAAGUGUUAAAUUAUUCUAAGGUGAAUUGUGUAAUUGCUGUGGCUUUGAAAUUAAGAUAAUUUUUUCCUUGUGUAGCUUUGAAAUUAAGAUAAAUUUAUCCUUGUGUAGCCUUGAAAUUAAGAUAAAUUUAUCCUCUUGUAGCUUUGAAAUUAGGAUAAAUUUAUCCUCAUGUAGCCUUGAAAUAAAGAUAAAUUUAUCCUCAAAUAGCUUUAAAAUUAAGAUAAAUUUAUCCUCGUGUAGCCUUGAAAUUAAGAUAAAUUUAUCCUCGUGUAGCUUUAAAAUUAAGAUAAAUUUAUCCUCAUGUAGCCUUGAAAUUAGGAUAAAUUUAUCCUCGUGUAGCCUUGAAAUUAGGAUAAAUUUAUCCUCAUGAAGCCUUGAAUUAAGAUUAAUUUAUCCUCGUGUAGCCAUGAAAUUAGGAUAAAUUUAUCCUCGUGUAACUUUGAAAUUAAGAAAAAUUUAUCCUCGUGUAGCCUUGUAAUUAGGAUAAAUUUUAUCCUCAUGUAGCCUUGAAAUUAGGAUAAAUUUAUCCUCGUGUAGCCUUGAAAUUAGGAUAAAUUUAUUCUCGUGUAGCUUUGAAAUUAAGAUAAAUUUAUCCUCGUGUAGCUUUCAAAUUAAGAUAAAUUUAUCCUCAUGUAGCCUUGAAAUUAAGAUAAAUUUAUCCUCAUGUUGCCUUGAAGUUUGGAUAAAUUUAUCCUCAUGUAGACUGAAAUUAAGAUAAAUUUAUCCUCGUGUAGCCUUGAAAUUCGGAUAAAUUUAUCCUCAUGAAGCCUUGAAUUAAGAUUAAUUUAUCCUCGUGUAGCCAUGAAAUUAGGAUAAAUUUAUCCUCGUGUAACUUUGAAAUUAAGAUAAAUUUAUCCUCGUGUAGCCUUGAAAUUAGGAUAAAUUCAUCCUCAUGUAGCCUUGAAAUUAGGAUAAAUUUAUCCUCGUGUAGCCUUGAAAUUAGGAUAAAUUUAUCCUCGUGUAGCUUUGAAAUUAAGAUAAAUUUAUCCUCAUGUAGCCUUGAAAUUAGGAUAAAUUUAUCCUCGUGUAGCCUUGAAAUUAGGAUAAAUUUAUCCUCGUGUAGCUUUGAAAUUAAGAUAAAUUUAUCCUCAUGUAGCUUUCAAAUUAAGAUAAAUUUAUCCUCAUGUAGCCUUGAAAUUAAGAUAAAUUUAUCCUCAUGUUGCCUUGAAGUUUGGAUAAAUUUAUCCUCAUGUAGACUGAAAUUAAGAUAAAUUUAUCCUCGUGUAGCCUUGAAAUUAGGAUAAAUUUAUCCUCAUGAAGCCUUGAAUUAAGAUUAAUUUAUCCUCGUGUAGCCAUGAAAUUAGGAUAAAUUUAUCCUCGUGUAACUUUGAAAUUAAGAUACAUUUAUCCUCGUGUAGCCUUGAAAUUAGGAUAAAUUUAUCCUCAUGUAGCCUUGAAAUUAGGAUAAAUUUAUCCUCGUGUAGCCUUGAAAUUAGGAUAAAUUUAUCCUCGUGUAGCUUUGAAAUUAAGAUAAAUUUAUCCUCAUGUAGCCUUGAAAUUAAGAUAAAUUUAUCCUCAUGUUGCCUUGAAGUUAGGAUAAAUUUAUCCUCAUGUAGACUGAAAUUCAGAUAAAUUUAUCCUCAUGUAGUCUUGAAAUUAAGAUAAAUUUAUCCUCGUGUAGCCUUGAAAUUAAGAUGAAUUUAUCCUCGUGUAGCCUUGAAAUUAGGAUAAAUUUAUCCUCAUGUAGCCUUGAAGUUAAGAUAAAUUUAUCCUCAUGUAGCUUUGAAACGAAGAUAAAUUUAUCCUCAUGUAGCCUUGAAAUUAAGAUAAAUUUAUCCUCGUGUAUCUUUGAAGUUAAGAUAAAUUUAUCCUCGCGUAGCCUUGAAAUUAGGAUAAAUUUAUCCUCGUGAAGCUUUGAAAUUAAGAUAAAUUUAUCCUCAUGUAGCUUUGAAACGAAGAUAAAUUUAUCCUCAUGUAGCUUUGCAAUUAGGAUAAAUUUAUCCUCGUGUAUUCUUGAAAUUAGGAUGAAUUUAUCCUCAUGAAGCUUUCAAAUUAAGAUAAAUUUAUAUUCGUGUAUCCUUGAAAUUAAGAUAAAUUUAUCCUCGUGUAGCCUUGAAAUUAGGAUAAAUUUAUCCUCGUGAAGCUUUGAAAUUAAGAUAAAUUUAUCCUCAUGUAGCUUUGAAAUUAAGAUAAAUUUAUCCUCAUGUAGCCUUGAAAUUAAGAUAAAUUUAUCCUCGUGUAGCUUUGAAAUUAAGAUAAAUUUAUCCUCGCGUAGCCUUGAAAUUAGGAUAAAUUUAUCCUCGUGAAGCUUUGAAAUUAAGAUAAAUUUAUCCUCGUGUAGCUUUGAAACGAAGAUAAAUUUAUCCUCAUGUAGCUUUGAAAUUAGGAUAAAUUUAUCCUUAUGAAGCCUUGAAAUUAAGAUAAAUUUAUCCUUGUGUAUCCUUGAAAUUAAGAUAAAUUUAUCCUCGUGCAGCCUUGAAAUUAGGAUAAAUUUAUCCUCGUUUAGCCUUGAAAUUAGGAUAAAUUUAUCCUCGUGUAGCCUUGAAAUUAGGAUAAAUUUAUCCUCCUGUAGUAUUAGCAGGAUGAACUAAUCCUUAUAAUUGUAAUAGAUUUGUAUGAUAUAUUUAUUUGAUCUGUUAUUCAUAUUAAAUGGUUGUAUUAAUUGAAA